This is a long non-coding RNA of Artibeus jamaicensis (Jamaican fruit-eating bat), 1491 nucleotides long. RefSeq lists it as uncharacterized. The record is from RefSeq and is a predicted model, not a curated record. NCBI's taxonomy places the organism in Eukaryota, Metazoa, Chordata, Mammalia, Chiroptera, Phyllostomidae. The transcript is spliced from 4 exons.
UGCUGUGGAGAUGAAGUGAGACCAUGCUUAGGAAGGGGUUAGCCUGGGGUCUGCUUCAGAGUAGUAAGUGCUCCGUGAGCACGAGCUACUAUUGUGUCCUGACGCUGGAGCUGACACACGACAGACUGGCCAUUCAUGUCAUCCCCUUCGUUCCUGAACAGAGAAGACGAAUUCCAUUCAUAACGCCACCUGGGUUAUGACGAUGGGCGGGAAAGGCCUGUGAACCCGACUCCCCGCCCACACUCGGAGGUCCAGCUGAAGACUCCCAGCAUCGCCAUGAGGUCCCAGGGCAAAGAGGAAGCCAGCCCUGUGGAAUCAUCAACAUUACGGAAGAGCACUCUGGAGACUGUGAAACUCAAUUUAUGCUUCUGGUUGCUCUGCUACUGUAGGAUCUGCGACUUCGGGUGUCCAAGAAGCCUUAAUAAGCCACAGCUUUAAAACAUGGAAUGUGCGUCCUCAGAGAGAAAUGGCCUGCCGAGGCUGGAGGCGCCCAGCAGAGGCACUUUGGAAGCGGUCCCUACUCCUCCUACAGUGCAGCUCGCGGGCUGGCUACGUCAGAACUCCGGGCCAAGGACUGCGGCAUCUGCAUCCACAUGCACCAGGCUGGAAGCUGAGGACGCUGAUCAUCACUCCUGCCUGGGAGAUGGAAAUGACGAGGACAGUGUGGUGGCUUCGGGGUCCUGAGAAGCAGAGGCACCCCCUGCACCCAGUCUCCUUCUUGAUUUUUCCCGCCUUUCUGCGGAGGUUGGGAGGGGUCGCCCAGCUGCUGGCCUCAGACCCCACCGCCCUCGGCAGAAGAGGGGAUGCGCAAGACACAGCCAGGCAGUCUCCAUCCUCUGCCCAGUCUCUCUGGCUGUUGCACUGGUUCAAAGGACAGUGGUGGUGGGGCUGGGCCAGCCGGGGGUGGGAGUGGGGGCCCUUGCUGCCUGAGGAGGUAUUUUCAGACUCCCCCUCCCUCUGGAGUUUCCAGCGAUAGAAUGGAGCCCUGUCUAGUAUUUGACCAAAUAUGGUGGUAUCUCUCGAUGAGCUCAAGCCCCAGCCAGCUUCUCGGCUGUGCUGUGGAAACCUGCCCUGGACAGAUUAAUCUUGUGACACUCAGGAGGGCCUCGCACCCCGCGUUCUUCCCUCAGGCUGAUUCCUGUAAAUGGCUAAGAGUGGCCCCUCAACAAGACGCUGCAGUCCUGGACGCCUGCUCACGGUGUCCCUCCCUUCCAUCCCCUCCUCUGCCUCCCUGGGUGGACUUGCUUGCUCACCAUUGGUUGCGCCGUUCACUUGAGUGAGAGACCUCGACCAGUGUCCUGCCGGGCUGGUCAGUUCAGCAUGUGAUUCCAGGACACAUAGACCCUGGGGUCACCUGAGCUCAUGAAACUGUCCCCAGAGCCUGUGAAACCCAGAGCUCUCUCAGCCAGGAGGGUGGGCCCGAUGGGGUAGAAGUUCCCUUGGCAGAGCGGUGGGAACUGUGCUAGUGCUAAGGCUAAUCAGAACCGCUGA